RNAcentral lists this ribosomal RNA (253 nucleotides) under uncultured bacterium. Its description in RNAcentral is "partial 16S ribosomal RNA". It matches the Rfam family "Bacterial small subunit ribosomal RNA", at positions 524 to 776 of the family's 1533-position model. The record is from RNAcentral.
UACAGAGGGUGCGAGCGUUGUUCGGAAUUAUUGGGCGUAAAGGGCGCGUAGGCGGUGCGGUAAGUCACCUGUGAAAUCUCCUGGCUCAACUGGGAGCUUGCAGGCGAAACUGCCGUGCUGGAGUGUGGGAGAGGUGUGUGGAAUUCCUGGUGUAGCGGUGAAAUGCGUAGAGAUCAGGAGGAACACCAGUGGCGAAAGCGGCGCACUGGACCACAACUGACGCUGAAGCGCGAAAGCUAGGGGAGCAAACAGG